UAGUUGUGCGUUACCUAGCAAUGNUGGAUACGCAGCGAACGGCUCCGUAACACGUGGUCANUCUGCCCNUNAGGAUGGGAAUACCCCCGGGAAACUGGGUAUAAUGCCCAAUAGGCGAAAAUGCCUGGAAUGGCCUUUCACUUAAAGGGCCUAUGAAGCAUGCUUUUUAGGUCGCCUAAGGAUGAGACUGCGUCCGAUCAGGUUGUUGGUGGGGUAACGGCCUACCAAGCCUAUAUCCGGUACGGGCCCUGAGAGGGGUAGCCCGGAGAUGGGAACUGAGACAAGGUCCCAGGCCCUACGGGGUGCAGCAGGCGCGAAACCUCCACAAUACACGAAAGUGUGAUGGGGUUAUCCCGAGUGCCGUCCGAUGAGGAUGGCUUUUACUCGGUGUAAGAUUCCGAGGGAAUAAAGGGGGGGCAAGACUGGUGUCAGCCGCCGCGGUAAUACCAGCCCCCUGAGUGGUAGGGGCGAUUAUUUGGCCUAAAGCGUUCGUAGCCGGCUUAACAAGUCCUUCGUUAAAUUCAACGACUUAAUCGUUGAGCUGCGUAAGAUACUAUUAGGCUAGAGGACGGGAGAGGUCGACGGUAUUCCUGGGGUAGGGGUGAAAUCCUAUAAUCCUAGGAGGACCACCAGUGGCGAAGGCGGUCGACUAGAACGUGCCUGACGGUGAUGGACGAAAGCUAGGGGAGCGAACCGGAUUAGAUACCCGGGUAGUCCUAGCUGUAAACGAUGCGGGCUAGGUGUUGGGGUAGCCAAGUGCUACUUCAGUGCCGCAGAGAAGUCGUUAAGCCCGCCGCCUGGGAAGUACGAUCGCAAGAUUGAAACUUAA
This 829-nucleotide ribosomal RNA is filed under the name uncultured archaeon. RNAcentral's name for it is "bacterial SSU rRNA". It matches the Rfam family "Archaeal small subunit ribosomal RNA", at positions 55 to 859 of the family's 1478-position model. The record is from RNAcentral.